CUUCUAACAUUAACAGGUCUAUGAAUGUCUGUAACUCCGCCUAUGAGCGUGUCUCUUAUCAUCCAUCUUAACUGAAAUCUUUAGAGUAGGCUGUGCCAUAACAUGUUAUGUCCUCAACACGCCGAGCACAGUGCCUUGCACUUAGCAGGUGCUCCACAAAUAGUUUUUGAGUAAAUUAUUUACCUGGGCGACACUGGAGGUAGACUGAGUACACAAGGAAUUAAUAGAAGACAAAGGGGUGCGGGAUUGUAUCAGCACAAGGAGAUGAGAUCAAGGGAUUAAUUUGAAGAAACAUUUUUCUCUGUAAAUAUAGAUAUUUUAUGGGUUGGUUACAGAUGGAUAGGAAGUACCAUUUUUAGUUGCACACCAUAUCUGUUCCUUCCCUCCUUUUAGGAGCAUCUCUGAACAGGAACCAAAUUGUCCUCAUUUGACAAUGUCUCUUAGUAGAAAUUUCCCUUCUCCACCAUCAUUUUUCUAUUCUUAAGAUCACACUAAAUUGUGUCAUUAACAUUUUUUUAUCAUUUAUAUUUCUCUCAUCAUAUAUCUCUGCCAGAUUUAUCUCAAAGAAUAUCUUUUCUACCGAUCUCUUUCUUUCCAUUUUUCUCACAAUGCUACUUGUGAUUAUAAAGAACUUGAAUUGGGACACUAUUGUUUAUACUCAUAGUCCAAAGUACAAGAAGACCAUAUGCAAUGAAGUAAAAUUGGACAUUCGACAGAAAGAUAAAUGCGAUUCUUUCUAUCUCAGUUUUAGCCAAGGCCCCAAAGGUUUAUGUAUAUAUAACAGUGAGGUAGGAAGGGCCCCACGCAGAAUUGCUAAGACUGCAAAACCACUUCUGCCAAGUGGUUUAUUCCAAGCAGUAAUGACUCUUGAGUUGGAAGAACUGGAGAAGAAUCCUUUGGAGAAAGUUAUUGCAGAUAUUGUUGCCCCAAGGGAAAAAGGCUACUUCCUUACUUUAAGUCAGGUGAGAGCAAACUCAAAGGGAGACUUGGGAGAGUUUGACAAGUAUCUCCCAGAGUGUAAAUGCUGGGGGUAAGACGCUAUGGCCAGACUGGAGCAAUGCACAAAGACAAGACAUGGGCCACACAGGAGGAAACAAACCUAGAGCCAUCUUGAAAGAACUGUCUAAAAGACAAAGUGACUCAAGAGACGGACAGCUACCAGAAGUCUAGGAACUGAGGACAAUGUCAAAAGUAACCAACUGCUUGAAGUAUCACCUAUUUCACAGGCAUGGGAGUUAUAGAUGAGGGUCUCAUAAGGGGAAUCACCCCAAAAACAAUGGAUAAAAAGAAUCUGCUUUGAACAUCUGUGAAGUCAAAGCCAAAUCACAUCAGUAAGAUCUCUACUGCCCCCUUUAUGUAUCUUCCUUCAUCUCACUCCAGUGCUGGAGGGGCCAGAAACCAUGGUGAGAGAAUGGAAGAGGAGAUGCCACUUCCCAUAUGCACGCACACCACGUGUGCAUGCACACACAUACCCACACACACCACUCCAGGCUUCCAAUCCUUGCUCAGCCCUGGCUGAGGAUGGAAGAAAUUUUAAAGCGGACAAUACGUUUGGAUUAUUAGACUGAACUGUAUUCUUUGAAGCUGCAGAACUAUUAAUUAUCAGAGAGUAACUUAAAAAGUUAUGUUCUUUAAUUCUGUUAUCCCUCUAUUUUGCCUAAUUACCAACAUUAAGAUUGUGUUUUUUCUAUUGCCUUUCAUUGGAAAUAAAUAAUGUAUUUCUACUCCCUUUAGAUUUUUCAGUGAACUAGUCCUAGGACCUCAGACACCUGUUCUUUAAAAAGGAGAAUGUGUGCAUCAUUUCAAAAAUCAAUGGUUGGGACUCAAUCCAUUUAGAGACUGAGUCUUCCUGCAAUGUGCUUACUCUUGUGGGGAUUGCCCAGGUAAGGCUAAAACAAAACUCUUUAUUCAAAAUGAUAAUCUCUGUAUAUAUAAGACUUGUAUGUGAUCUCAAAUCUCUCAAAGGAUUCUUGUAAAUGUUUUCCCCAGCAGGUCUGGCAUGGGACUAAGAGAAACUCAUUAUUCCAUUCGUAUUAAUUUGUCAUGGUGUGUACGGUCAUGUACCCAGGACAGAAAUGACACAAGCAAAGACUUCCAGGCUGACUGUCUCCAUGGCUCAAGUCACCAUAUUGACAGAGUAAAUAAAGAUAUAUUCUAAGACUUAUGAACCUGCCCAUUAUUCCUCUGGAACAGCAGCCAAAACCAAUAGGAAAAAAAAUGACCCAAUGCUGCCAGGAUGGCAGGCAUUCUUUACUACAUUUCAUGCCAAUUAUUUCCUUUCACAUGACAAGCAGGCAUUACUUUUCAACUCCUGACCUAUAUUUCACAUAUCUGGGUUUCAGACCAAAAGAAACACUAGCCAUCAUAAAAAUGC
This 2374-nucleotide long non-coding RNA is filed under the name Canis lupus familiaris (dog). RNAcentral's name for it is "lncRNA (ENSCAFG00805005908.1, ENSCAFG00845007918.1)". The record is from RNAcentral. Lineage: Eukaryota; Metazoa; Chordata; Mammalia; Carnivora; Canidae.